UACACGAAAGCCGGUAACUUAGUCUGUUCUGGUAAGAGGUCUAGUUUCUGGUUCAGUACUAGAUCAGUUCCUAUUUUGCGUCCUUUGUCUUACGCAAAGAAUUACUGCGGAACUGAAUUUUGAGUUUGUUGGAUUGUGGGCUACAGGGGCGGCACACCUCACAGCAAGACAGUCCCUGGUUCAAAUCCUGGCCUGGGCCUUUCUGUGUCCAGUUUGCACGUUCUCUCCGUGUCUGCAUGGGUUUCCUCCAGGUACACCAGUAUCCUCCCACAGUCCAAAGACAUGCAGUCCUCCAGAGACUCUGAAGACAUUCAUGAAGACAUGGUGGUACGAGACAAAACCAGAAACACACUUAAGUCCUCAUUUCUUAUAAAAAUAAAGGUGCAGAACAGCCAAA
Long non-coding RNA from Anguilla rostrata (American eel), 397 nucleotides. RefSeq lists it as uncharacterized. The transcript is spliced from 3 exons. NCBI's taxonomy places the organism in Eukaryota, Metazoa, Chordata, Actinopteri, Anguilliformes, Anguillidae. The record is from RefSeq and is a predicted model, not a curated record.